RNAcentral lists this transfer RNA (84 nucleotides) under Candidatus Aenigmatarchaeota archaeon. RNAcentral describes it as "tRNA-Ser". It matches the Rfam family "tRNA". From Rfam's summary of the family: Transfer RNA (tRNA) molecules are approximately 80 nucleotides in length. Their secondary structure includes four short double-helical elements and three loops (D, anti-codon, and T loops). Further hydrogen bonds mediate the characteristic L-shaped molecular structure. tRNAs have two regions of fundamental functional importance: the anti-codon, which is responsible for specific mRNA codon recognition, and the 3' end, to which the tRNAs corresponding amino acid is attached (by aminoacyl-tRNA synthetases). tRNAs cope with the degeneracy of the genetic code in two manners: having more than one tRNA (with a specific anti-codon) for a particular amino acid; and 'wobble' base-pairing, i.e. permitting non-standard base-pairing at the 3rd anti-codon position. Lineage: Archaea; Nanobdellati; Candidatus Aenigmatarchaeota. The record is from RNAcentral.
GCCAGGAUAGCAGAAUCAGGUAAUGCGCUGGAUUCGAGAUCCAGUGUCCUUCGGGACUUGUGGGUUCAAAUCCCUCUCCUGGCG